Long non-coding RNA from Camelus dromedarius (Arabian camel), 3484 nucleotides. RefSeq lists it as uncharacterized. The transcript is spliced from 3 exons. NCBI's taxonomy places the organism in Eukaryota, Metazoa, Chordata, Mammalia, Artiodactyla, Camelidae. The record is from RefSeq and is a predicted model, not a curated record.
UUCAAGACAAGAAAGAGAUAGAUUUUUCUUUGCAAAACAUUUUUCCUACAGGAACUUGAUUCAGGGAAUAUAGUCCCUAAAAAUUUACUUCCAUUAGCAUGCAGCGGACAGAGGAUGCUUCUUGGGGAGAGUGGUCCAGGUGGGGUGGAGUCUGUGAAAAGUUAUGCCAGUGCGUCCCCGUCGGCUGCUGGGUGUCUGUUUACUCAGAAGUACUCACUGAGCACCUUGGCAAAGCAAAGUUUAGAAAGAAAAGGGACACAUACAUAGUCUACUAAUGACAUUUUUAAUGACUAAGUUGACUUUAAGCGAGUUUUAUAGUCAUUUUCUUCAAAUAUACAUAAAGUCAGGUUAACUUCUCACCACUUCACAUAAAUUAUGCCCAGAGGUCUAAUAGACUUGAUCUUACUCAGACACAGCUAGGAAAAGCAAUAAAGGAAAAAAAGUGUCUUUCAUGCAAUAGUAAGUUUAAAUGACAAACUUGAGCUGCUUUUUUCCCUCAGGUCAGUCAAGGAACAAUGAUUUAAAUUUCCUCUAUCAUGUCACUUAGCUGUGGAUAUUCUGGAAACCACUGCAGCGCAUUAUUUAGGGCAGAUGGUUUGUGUUAAUUUGGGGAAGAGCUCAGCUGCAAACUUUGGGGAGGUUGGUGGCCAGGAACUUUGAGGUCCAGCCCGUCUCCUCUAGAAGGUCCCCACCACCGCUCGAGGUGUCUGGGCUCCUCCCGACGUCCUGCCGCCGCAGGCAGCGGGGCUCCCAGGGAAGCAGGGUGGGGAGGCCCAGGUCGGGCAGACGAGUCUGGGAUCCAGGCCCCUGACUCGAGCCAGGGUUGCUGGGGGUGUUGGUGACCCCCAGCCAUCUUCCCAUCUGUCAGUCAGUGUCACUGAACUCAGUGACAGGAGAGCCCGUCCCGAGCUCCUGACUCAGGCCUGUCGCUCCCCCGCCUCCCUGGGCUCCCUCCCAGGACUGGAGGCCCUGAGGCACCGUCUCUCUCUCGGGAGGGCCACCCUCUGCUUGGGGCUGAGGGAGGACGGGGUCUUUCCCCACGCUUUCUAGCUACGUUGGCACCUUGGUCUCACCCGGACAUGAAGUCUCACCCCGUGGGCAUCCCCGCGAAGGGCCCUGGGUGCGAACGCUCCACCUUGAAUGGACGGAGGCCCCUGGCUCAGGGGCAAAUGCAGCAGGAACAGGGGGCUGGGGACACGGCUCACCGUCCAGGCCCAGGCACGCCUGCCAGUUUGGGACUGGAGUCUUGACUAUGGGAAGUGGGGUUUAAAGUGUGCGGUGUGACUUGGAUGUCAGUCACGUCGCGUUAUUGCUAGAAGCUGUGCUUUUUCAUAGCCUCACCCAGGUGCUGGUGGAGAGACGGGGCAGCCACUGACCAGGAGGGGCGGGGUGGAGAGGAGCAGACCCCCAGCAAGCCGGAGGCCCCCAUUUAGGAAGAAUUCCCACGGCCCCCGGCACCCCUCCUGCCGUGGGAACGUCCUCCCGGCCAGCCGAGGAGGUGCGUGCAGGGCACUGGAUGUCACACAGCCCAGAAUUACACGUCCCAGGCUGGCUGGUGCUCAGGGUAUCAGGGAGGAGGGCUCUGCCGGGCUGGCGGGACCUCCGGGUCUGCAGCCUCAGGACCUGACCUCUGACCUCGCGGAGGCCUGCCCUGGGGGUGGGGGUUGGGGAUGAGACUGGCUGGGGCCCAGCAGCAGAGGAACUUGGAGGUCACCCCUGCGCAGGGCUCGCACCGCCUCCUUUUCAGGGUGAAGAACGCGCCACAUCCAGCAAAGGGGGUCUUAGACAGGUGUCAACGCCCUCCUGCGCCCUGCGCCUGGUUGCCCGUCUGCGGCCGUGGAGUGACAGUCGUCUGUGUUUUAACCCGGGACCCGCCAGCCAUGGCUUCAGUGUGGGGCUGUCACCUGGGAUGCAGGAGGCUUGGGGGGAUGGACAGUUGGGUCAGCGUCUCGGUUCCCCAGGACAGCGGGCUCAGAUGGGGCCCAAGGAGGUGGCGGUGUGACUUCCCCAGGGGAAUGCAGGCUUCCCCGAGGAGGUGGGAGGGCAAGGCGGGAGCCGGUGCGUGGACGUUCUUGGGCCUCCGUCUGCUCUUCUGCGCGCGUGGGCAGGUUGAAUGGCAGGUCCCAGUGCCCCCAGGUGUGGACGCCCAGUGUCCCCGGGUGAUGCUGGCCCUUGCUCCCGGCCACUCGGGUCAGCAGGCAGAUGGGAAGCCACUGGUACCUAGAAGCUCAGACACCGCAAAGCCACAGGCGCCGCGGGCGCUGCACCUGCAGCCGGGCCGCCUCCCCUCUGUGGGCGUGGGCUCAGCAGGGCCCCAGCCCCUCGGGCUCACUCGCUGGGGAAGGGCCCGGCUGUGAAUAGGCCUGCGUGCAGGCAGGAAGCAGGUGGGCCCUCUCCUGCUGCUGUUUGCGGGGCUCAGUGUCUCCGGAAAAUGCAACCUUGGUUUCUGCGGAAAUGGCCUUCCCUCCACCCCUCAGCCCCAGCUUUCUACGGCUUUUCUCUUUAAAGGUCUGAGCAGCUAAACCCAGGAGUCAUGGAAACCUUUACCACCUCCAUUUUUUGAAACUGUUGAAAAUUCUGCUCAAAGACUGUAAUUUAAUCCUCGUUCUUAAAUAAUAAUAGUUACAGUACAGGUGGACGUGGCCGUGCCGGGUGAGCGGGGCUGCCGUGGUUCUCCUGCUGGACGCCUUCUGCGAGGUUCUCUGUUGGGUGUAAGUGACCGGCCGUCGGUAAAGCCACGCCCAGUCUCUGUGGUACGACGGACACUACUUCUCCUGGUCCCUCGAGGAAACGUAGGAGUCCGCUGACUGCAGAGGAACUCUGGCAUCGCCUGAGGUACUGCUUGCAGUUUUGGACUUAAAGUUCCUAGCAGUUUGCUGACCUACUGACUGUCUGCUGUUCAGGACGUGCCCUGCUCCUGGGUGACGCUGCCCUGUGCGUCCAGCAGUGUCCGUCCUCACACGUUCGCCGUGCCCAGUGGUCCAGACCUCCUGUGCUCUUGGAGGCGUCCUUGGAGAGAAGCCGUCAGGCCACCUGGCAUCCCGCCUUCCUCGCCCUCCUGCAGAUUCUCCUGCGCUUAUAAAAAAUAAUGAAGUUCCCGGUGCCUUUUGCUCGUUUCUUCCGGUGCUGACCCUCGCAGGACCGAAGCAGUGUUCCCGCAGCCAGGGUUCUGACCAGACGGGGAGACAGAGGCUCCUCAUGACAAGACACCCCCCCGACCCCCAAGGCGGCUCUACCGGAGCACUCGCCCUCGCCUGGCCCACCCUGUCCUCGCGGCCCCUGGCUGCUCUCCGCCUCCGUGAACCUGCCCUUUCCCGGUGCUCAGGGACGGAAUCCCACAGCGUGCGGCCGGCUGAGCAGCCCUUGUCCCUCCGCACACCCCCGGCCCGGCGGCUCCGCGUGCGCCCCGGCGCCCGUCUCUCCCAGUGUUGAGCAGAGCCCCCGGGGGGACGGCCCGCGCUGUAUCAAACGGCGCCCGCCGGGG